Non-coding RNA from Pelobates cultripes (western spadefoot toad), 276 nucleotides. The record is from the annotation of a GenBank genome assembly. NCBI's taxonomy places the organism in Eukaryota, Metazoa, Chordata, Amphibia, Anura, Pelobatidae.
UGGACACAUGUCCUUUUUCAGCCUAUGUAACUAUUUAAAACAAAACUGGACACAAAUAUAAGUUCAAUGCCAGAAUCAAGGCAAUAUUUUUUGCUCUGUAUGAGCAUAGGUCAAGGUUAACAAAGACUUAUAUACAGCCAAAAAGUUGCCUGUUUCUGUCUAAUAAAUCUGCCGUGGACCUUAUACCUGUGCCCACUCCUUCUUUUCGUUUCACUGAAAAGCUUGGUCGACUGGACUGGAGGCAUGGUUUGUAGAUACCCUAUUUCUCUAUCUUCU